GGGCGCGCCACCCUUGACCCCGGUGCUUUGCACGCUGUGCGGCCGGCUGCUGGACCGAGGGCGGUGCGGGCGCUCCGGCUUCUGGCUGCGGGCCGUGGGGGGUCCCGCGGGGUUCAGGCGGCUCUGGGGCCCGAGUGGGUGCGGGGCUGGGUUCGUGCGGUUAAAAACCACGUAAGGUGGGCGGAGUGACCGUGCGGACGCCGCUGCUGCGCGGACGGAGCUCGGCCGGGUUCCGAGACUAGACGGGGGACAGUGCGACCGUCACGAACUGGGAGCGAACAUCAGGGUAGAAGACAGGAUGCGGAGGGGGAAGCGCCUCCGAGGAGGUGACACUGCGGCUGAGACCCGAGGGGGAGGGGGCGCCCGGCAGAGGGAAUAGCCGCGCUACGGCGUUGCAAGAAGGGAGGGGAGGCUAGCGUGGCGGCUCGCAGGCCAGGCUACGAAGGUGGAGUUGAGCGGUGGUGGGGCGACGUGGAGGAUGUGCAACAUCCGGAGCCGAGGCUUCACUCUGGCCGGUGAACAGCGCAGGCAGGGAGGCAGUCAGACUCCUGGCAAAGCAGUGGCCCGGGCCCAGGCAGGAGGCUGGGAGAAUAAAACCCGGCACCAAAGAGGCCAGCGCUUUCGGGUUUUGUUCCCCACGGGGCCGCCAGCGUUCCCCCACCCAUGUCCGGCAAGCGGUUGUUACUGCAUGACCCUUGGUGGGAGCAAGGAAGGUGCACCCCGCCCCGGACGUUGUCCGAACAGGGUCGGGGGCCACCUGCUGGCAUGUGGCGCUGCUCUCCAUUUGGAAACGUACCCUUGUCAAGACAGAAUAUUCCCUCUGCCUUCAUUCUCUGUCGGCCUCUGCAGUGCUUGCCCUUGGAGGCUGGUGACCGGGGACACGGAGAGGGUUUAGUGGUAGUCUGGAUGGUGCUGGAGGUCACAGUGCGCCAUCCGGGAGCCUCAAGUAGGCAUCGCAUCCCCAAGAAAGGACUCCUAGCUACCGCUGAGAGUCCCUGCACCAAGGACAGGGGUGGCCUGGCCAGGUAGAACAGAAGAGUUUGGGUGGAGUCAGGGAGGCGGUGAUGGCUCGGUGGCCUUGAGGGAGGCAUUAGAAGAGGAGGCCUGGGUCUCUCUGUGGAGGUGAGAGCCUGCAGCCCCUGCAGGAGCCCAGGAAGAGGCACUGGCUGGUCCUUCUCGGUGGCCAGGCUGGGCCUUAAAGGGUCAGACAGCCAGCGAGGGUCUGGAGUUGUGGGGAGCCUCUCUGGCUGCAGGCUUGUGCCUCUAAGGUGUGGGUUGUCGGGUCCUGAGACCUCUCCCAUCUCCCUGCCAGCAGGUGACUCUGGACUCUCCUGGGGGUGGCUGAGGAGUGAGCUGGGGGCUUGUGCUGGUUUUCAUGCCCAGAGCCCCAUGUUCAUUUCUGCCCCAGGGAAGUCAAGGAUAGCGUGCCUGAGCCGGGGCGGUCACAGCUGGGCGCGGAGCAGUGGAGCUCGUACGCUGCAUCGUUGGCAGACCUGUGGGCCGUGUCGCAGUGUCGACUGGGGCCAAGAUGGCUUGGCCCUGCUCCCAGGACCUACGUUGUGCCAUCCACAGCCAGCUGACUUGGGACUUCUCCAACCCUGCAGGCGUCUGAUGCCAGCAUCUGUGUGGUGUAGGCUGGGCCCCAGGAGCGGGGCCUGGGCAGCCCUGUGUGUUGAGGAAGGAAGGCAGGGCCCCCGCUCCCCGGGCCCGACCCCGUAGCUUCAGCUCCUCGUGCCUGUUUGAGGACAACACCAAGUGGGCCUAUCAGGUGGGGAUGGGACUCCAGGGCCCAGCGCCCUGCUUCCUGGUGCUCUCCUGGGCGGGCUGCCGGGGUCGAGACCUCUGCCUUGUCGCGCCUUCUCAGGCAGCCUCUCAACCUACCUUCCCUGAGCCCCCUCGUGCAGGGACCCCAGGGGCUUUGCUGUCCUUUGGGAAAGGGAGAUAGGCUUCAGGGACUCGAACCUCCCAGGGUUUGGAGGUGGACCUGAGCCGGGGUUCAAGGAAGGCACCUCGUGUCUGCAGAGUGGGAUAUCACACGUGGCCCGCUUGCCUCAGCUGAGGGGUGGAGUGAGCAGCCUAAUCCUGACUUUGGUUUUGGGGGGAACUCUUAGAACCUCUGUGGCCACCUCUUUGCUGCAGGAGCCCCUCUGUGUCCAGAUAGAGCCCAAGCUGUCUACCCAGGAACGUCCCUUGGUGUGCAGGUAAGGGCCACAGGGUCUGGGUGAGCGCAGGUGGCCCUCCCUUCUCACUGACCAGUCUGUGUGGGAACGGCGGCGGGGGGGGGGGGGGGUGGUCUCAGAGGACCUGGCUGGCCUACACCGUCGGUGUCGUGCUGGUUCCCAGAAGCGAGCCGAACAGCAGCUGGCAUGGGGUGUCCUGCAGAUGCCAUCGCCAAAUCUGUUGCCCAGGCUGGUUGUCUAGCCCCGGGCUGGCCUCGGAAACCUCCCCCCUCACCUCCAGGUUCUGGCACUGUGGGUGUCCGGGCUGACUGCUCUGGGGCACUGGGACGUUGCUGUCUCUGUGGUCAAGGGACUGACUGACUUCAGCCCAGGCUCACGUGGGUCCAGGCUGGACCGGACGGGCUGGCUCCUCUCCCACCUGCGAUGUGUGGUCAUCCCCAGGCAGCUUGCGGCCACCCUUGGACCAGCCUUCCGGCCUUCCUUCCAGCUGCUGGCCUUGGCUCACUCCUUCUUCUGCCCUGGUCCUGUCAGCUGCUUUGUGAGACAGGGCUGAAGGUCCCUGAGACUGAGGUGACCUUCGCUCCUCCUGGAGUCCUGGAUUGAAGAUCUGGAUUGGCGUUUGCCCAGCAAAAAAACCUGUCCAGUUUGUUUUUCUGUGUCCCUGCGACCAUAGGGUCAGGGACACCAUGGGGGGCAGGGGCUGGGCCCUAGGGUAGGGUCACUUCUGCUAGCCUGUGGGUCUUCCUAAGUGAGGUGGGGUCUCGCCAGCUCAAGUGGACCACGAAGGCACACUUGUGGACCCCUUGAGGAUGCGAACCUGCACACUGCAGUCGUGGUGGAGACUGGGAUCGUAUCCUGGGACCUGGCUCUUAUCUGGGGUACCCAGCUAAAUAAAGGACCCUGUGUCCCGGCUCCCUCUCCCUGGAGCAGCCAUGUGCCUGCGUUCUGUGCAACAACGUGGACACAGAAGCACAUGACAUCCGGGAGCUGUGUCCUCCUCCCGUCCCCCUGCUGCUUCUGUCUGGAGCCUCAGGGUGACCUUGAGCCCAAGAGCAGAGCUUGAGGGAGGCCUGCACCUGGACAGAGCAGGCAGAUGGAGGCUGGCUUCCUGAGGCCUUGUCGGCGACAACACCCAGACCACUGUCUCUGGACUUUGUACUUGACCGAGAAAUAAACGCCUGUCUGGUUUCAAA
Molecule: long non-coding RNA, 3373 nt
Organism: Prionailurus viverrinus (fishing cat)
Lineage: Eukaryota; Metazoa; Chordata; Mammalia; Carnivora; Felidae
Exons: 2
Source: RefSeq, a predicted model, not a curated record